UACCUGGCCAGUAGUCAUAUGCUUGCUCAAAGAUAAGCCAUGCAUGUCUAAGUAUAACAACUAUACAGUGCUCAUUAAAUCAGUUAUAGUCAUUAAAUCAGUUAUAAUACCUUAUACAUGGAUAACUGUGGUAAUCUAGAGCUAAUAAGCCCCAACUUUGGAUUUGGAAGGGGGUGUAUUUAUAAAAAACCAAUGGCUUUCGGUCUUCUUUAACGAUUCAUAAUAACUUCUCGAAUCGCAUGGCUUCAUUCAAUAUCUAUCUGCCCUAUCAACUUUCCAACUUUCGAUGGUGGUGAUGACGGUACGGGAGAAUAAGGGGUUCGAUUCCGGAGAGAGGGCCUCAAUCUAAGGAUUGCAGCAGGCGCGCAAAUUCCCAAUCCUGACACAGGAGGUAGUGAACAAUAAACAAGGCUCUUUGGCUCUUUUGGGGGAAUGAUACAUGGAAUGAGUACAAUUUCAGAAUUGGAGGGCAAGUCUGGUGCCAGCAGCGCGGUAAUCCAGCUCCAAUAGCGUAUAUUAAAUUGUUGACGUUAAAGCUCGUAGUCGACUUCGGCCUCUGGCAGUGCAGUUGGUCCGCCUUUACCUCUUGGUGAACUUCACACUUUACUGGGUAGUUGAAGGGAACCAGGACUUGGGCUUUUACUUUGAGUGUUCAGAGUGUUCAAACUGAGGGAAUAAUAAAAUACAUUAGCAUGGAAUAAUGUUGGUUUCUAGGAUUACCGGAUUACCGUAAUGUCA
Molecule: non-coding RNA, 738 nt
Filed under: Puccinia triticina 1-1 BBBD Race 1
Lineage: Eukaryota; Fungi; Basidiomycota; Pucciniomycetes; Pucciniales; Pucciniaceae
Description: Eukaryotic small subunit ribosomal RNA
Rfam family: Eukaryotic small subunit ribosomal RNA
Source: Rfam by way of RNAcentral